GCCGCCAUGGUGAAAUUGGUAGACACGUUGCUCUUAGGAAACGAUGCUACAGCAUCUCGGUUCAAAUCUGAGUGACAACA
Molecule: transfer RNA, 80 nt
Filed under: Amborella trichopoda
Lineage: Eukaryota; Viridiplantae; Streptophyta; Magnoliopsida; Amborellales; Amborellaceae
Description: tRNA-Leu
Source: RNAcentral